GUGUCCGUACAUUAAACUUGACUUUCUUCCUUCCGUGUAGUCGGUGGAGGAGAUGUCAGAUGUGAAGUGUCUUGCGAUUGGUCUUCGGACCGGCUGCGAGUCCUUUUAAAUGUACUAAACUGAACUUCUCUUUGCUCGAAAAGUGGUGGCGUUGCUGGUUGUGAAGGCUGCUAUUGUGGCAAAUUGGCGACUGGUUUGUCUGCUGCGGCGUUAAUGGAAGAGUGUUCGAUUCGUGGUAUGGUUGGCUUCGGCUGAACAAUGCACUUAUUGGACGUUUUUCCUGCUGUGGCGUGAUGGACUGGUGAACCAUAGCUCGGUGGCUUGGCUUUUGAAUUGGCUUUGCUGUUGCGAAGUAGGGUGGCAGCUUCGGUUGUCGAGGGUCGAUCCAUUUGGGAACUUAAUGUGUACUUCGGUAUGCAUCUCAAUUGGACCUGAUAUCAGGCAAGAUUACCCGCUGAACUUAAGCAUAUCAAUAAGCGGAGGAAA
This 486-nucleotide ribosomal RNA is filed under the name Phytophthora nicotianae (black shank of tobacco agent). RNAcentral's name for it is "eukaryotic LSU rRNA". The stretch from base 428 to 486 matches the Rfam family "Eukaryotic large subunit ribosomal RNA", at positions 1 to 59 of the family's 3401-position model. Lineage: Eukaryota; Oomycota; Peronosporomycetes; Peronosporales; Peronosporaceae. The record is from RNAcentral.